Mustela lutreola (European mink) is the source of this 143-nucleotide small nuclear RNA. RefSeq annotates it as U4 spliceosomal RNA. The record is from RefSeq and is a predicted model, not a curated record. The transcript has a single exon. Lineage: Eukaryota; Metazoa; Chordata; Mammalia; Carnivora; Mustelidae.
AGCUUUGCGCAGUGGUAAUAUCGUAGCCAAUGAGGUUUAUCCGAGGCGUGAUUAUUGCUAAUUGAAAAGUUAAUGUAAAGUUACAUUUAAAUUUAUUGCUUGACAAAUCACUGAGAUGGUGUCUAUUUUAACAUACAUAUACC